Molecule: unclassified non-coding RNA, 606 nt
Filed under: Hevea brasiliensis (rubber tree)
Lineage: Eukaryota; Viridiplantae; Streptophyta; Magnoliopsida; Malpighiales; Euphorbiaceae
Source: RNAcentral
GCCAUGAUAUCUGGAACGAGUAUGGCUGCGCCCCAUAUAGCAGGGAUAGCUGCACUUGUGAAGCAGAAACAUUCUCACUGGAGUCCUGCUGCCAUCAAAUCAGCCUUAAUGACAACAUCAACAAAGCUGGACAGAGCAGGAAGACCUCUUCAAGCACAACAGUACUCUGAAACAGAAGCCAUGAAGCUGGUUGCAGCUACCCCUUUUGAUUAUGGGAGUGGUCAUGUUGAUCCAAGGGCUGCUCUGGAUCCAGGACUCAUCUUUGAUGCAGGUUAUGAGGAUUACUUGGGGUUCUUAUGCACAACACCUGGUAUUGAUGUCCAUGAGAUUAAGAACUACACAAACUCUCCUUGCAACUACACCAUGAAGCAUCCAUCAAAUUUCAACACCCCAUCAAUCACUGUAUCCCAUCUGGUGAAAACUCAAACAGUUACUCGCAUGGUCACAAAUGUUGCUGAGGAAGAAACUUAUGUGAUUGCAGCAAGAAUGCAACCAUCCAUUGCCAUUGAAGCAACCCCUUCAGCAAUGACUCUCAAGCCUGGUGCAUCUCGGGAGUUCUCCGUCAGCCUUACUGUUAGAUCAGUAACUGGAACAUAUAGUUUUGGA